AAAUCCUAUGAAUCAAUGAGAACCAGUUAUCAUACAAAUGCAAACAACAAGUGACGAGGCUAUGCCCAAUUUUUUUUAAUACACACAAAAAAGGUCAAAUACACAGCAAAUGUCAUUCAUCUGACAUCAUUAUUUGCUUUAUUUAAUUAUUUCUCCAUUAUGAAAAUGGUCUUACACUUAAGGCCUAGGUACUUGCCGCGGGUGGAGGUGGUAGCUUUAUUUCUGGAACAUGAUAACCUGCAAAAUUUCAUUCUUCACAUCAUAAUGAUGAACAUGAGAAAUUAUAUAAAGUGUGUGUGUGUGUGUAUAUAUAUAUAUAUAUAUGUGUGUGUGUGUGUGUGUGUGUGUGUGUGUGUGUGUGUGUGUGUGUGUUUGUGUGUUUGUGUGUGUUUGCGCAAAUAUAUGACAAUAUACCAACCUGCACAGUGAGUGCAUGUGUGCAACCCAUUGCCGCAUACAUGUGUAGCCAUGGCAAACUUGGCUAGACUGAGCAAAGUCAGUUCAUGAGCGGUGAACCGAUCACAGACGCAGUGGAUGUCUUUUGCAUCUCUUAUUGUAUUGCAACAUGCGCUACGGAGUGGCGGGUACUGGUCACCAAGUUUCUUUUCGAUGUGAUGCCAACAGUCUCGCAUCACCUUUUUUUUAUCAAGGAGGCAGUGAUCUAUGUCGUUGGCUGCUCGUGCAUGGAGCGAACAAGAAGAGAGAGCCACAAGCACUAGGAAGCAUAACACUCCAGCUACUUUUCCGUUGUUCAUGAUCUAUGUUGUGUAGCACUAUUGGUAUGUGUUUAUGCAGGACUUCUGUGCCACUCAGUCUCUAUAUAUAGUGGUCAUAGUGAAGCUUUUAGACUCCAUUCGCUCAUCAAUCGCUUAAUUGGACUCUUUUAACUAAGUGAGAGAUAUAUGACUUGGAUAUGUUAUAAUCUAAUGUUUGCACAUUUAUAUCUUGUAUAAAGUUGUUGGCAAUGGAUGUGGAUGCAACCUAUUAAUUAUUGGCAAUGGAGUAGUUGAUUUCGAACUCUUAACAGAUAUGUGUACAUAAUUUGGGUAUGUUCAUAAUUAAUGUAGGGACAUGUGUGGUCCUUGUAGUAUCACAUCGAUAGUAAAGGAUACUUCUAAUUAAAUAUAGCUAGGUGCAUCCAUUUCUUGUAUCAUAUUGAUGGUAACGGAUAUGUAGAUAAGCCUAUUUAUUUGUCUAUCUAUCUAUAUAUCUAUCUCUAUCACUAUCUCUAUCUCUAUCUCUAUCUCCAUCUAUCUAUCUAUCUAUCUAUCUACCUAUCCAUAUCUAUAUCUAUCUCUAUCUCUAUCUCUAUCUCUAUCUCUAUCUAUCUAUCUAUCUAUUUAUCUAUCUAUCUAUGUCUAUAUCUAUCUGAUACUAAUAACAGACUCCCUACAUAUUAAAACAUUAAUCAGUGAAAACAAGAAAUAGAAACCAGUGAUUUUAGCUUGCCUGAAUUACUACGAUUACGAUCUAUUAAUAAAUCCAUUGGAUAUUUCAAUUGAAAAACAGAACUUGGAUCUCAAUCAGGGAAAAAAAGGAAAAGAUAUGAUGCAAUCUAAACAACCGUUCAGAUUUGACACGGUAGCUGAGACGUCAUGCAAUUGUCAAAAUCAUGAUCGUGUUUCUUUGUGACUAACCAAGAUACGACCUGAUUCGUAUAUCUCCAGCCAAUUUGCAGUCCAUCAAUUAUUCCAUUGCCAUCUCAUGGCCUUGGCUUGGACGAACUAGGCCACAUGAUAAAGCAGUCCCAAUGUAAUCUCUGUGACCUUCUCAGCAUUCGCCAUGCCUGUUCCUAGCCAUGGAUAUCUGCCGGCACCAACCAGCACACAAACUGUAAGUAGAGAAGACAAUCGAGGGUUAUGGUUAUAGGGAUUUACACAUAGUUUUCUUAUCUUUUAGAUACACUGAGGAUGUUGUUACAGUGAUGGAACAUACGUUUGGCUACCUAUAUGCUCAACAUAGGGUGGUGCAUAUUUGAUUCCAUCAAUAAUUUAACGCACUAACCGACAUGGAAUCUUUCUUUGUCUUUUGUUCUUUUUUACAUCCUCCGCUAGUUCUUGCAAUCUUCUAAAUAACUCACGUUCAGUUGGUAACUAUUUGUUCAUAGAGUUCUUUCAUGAUCAGUAGAAACUUGAUAUGUGUUGACACUGGCAUUGGCGGCCCAAAAUAAGAAUAUGAAAAUGUUGCGUUAAUUAUUUCUCCAUUAUUCUUUGCUUUAUUUUAUUAUUUCUCCAUUAUGAAAAUGGUCUUACACUUAAGGCCUAGGUACUUGCCGCGGGUGGAGGUGGUAGCUUUAUUUCUGGAACAUGAUAACCUGCAAAAUUUCAUUCUUCACAUCAUAAUGAUGAACAUGAGAAAUUAUAUAAAGUGUGUGUGUGUGUGUGUGUGUGUGUGUGUGUGUGUGUGUGUGUGUGUGUGUGUAUUUGUGUGUGUGUUUGUGUGUUUGUGUGUGUUUGCGCAAAUAUAUGACAAUAUACCAACCUGCACAGUGAGUGCCUGUGUGCAACCCAUUGCCGCAUACAUGUGUAGCCAUGGCAAACUUGGCUAGACAGAGCAAAGUCAGUUCGUGAGCGGUGAACCGAUCACAGACGCAGUGGAUGUCU
This 2603-nucleotide long non-coding RNA is filed under the name Triticum aestivum (bread wheat). RNAcentral describes it as "long non-coding RNA (TAES_LNC016812)". The record is from RNAcentral. Lineage: Eukaryota; Viridiplantae; Streptophyta; Magnoliopsida; Poales; Poaceae.